AAACUGGUUACCUAGAGUAUGGGAGGGGGAGAUGGAAUUAGUGGUGUAGGGGUAAAAUCCGUAGAUAUCACUAGGAAUACCGAAAGCGAAGGCGAUCUCCUGGAACAAUACUGACGCUAAGGCGUGAAAGCGUGGGGAGCAAACGGGAUUAGAUACCCCGGUAGUCCACGCCCUAAACGAUGUUCACUAGUCGUCGGAAUGCUUGUCAUUUCGGUGAUGCACUUAACAGAUUAAGUGAACCGCCUGGGGAGUACGGUCGCAAGAUUAAAACUCAAAGGAAUAGACGGGGACCCGCACAAGUGGUGGAGCAUGUGGUUUAAUUCGAAGAUACGCGAAGAACCUUACCUAGCCUUGACAUUGAUUGAAUACUUUAGAGAUAGAGUAGUGCCCUUCGGGGAACAUGAAAACAGGUGCUGCACGGCUGUCGUCAGCUCGUGUCGUGAGAUGUUGGGUUAAGUCCCGCAACGAGCGCAACCCUCGUCCUUAGUUGCCAGCAGGUUAAGCUGGGCACUUUAAGGAGACUGCCUUCGCAAGGAGGAGGAAGGUGAGGACGACGUCAAGUCAUCAUGGCCCUUAUGGCUAGGGCUACACACGUGCUACAAUGGGGCGUACAGAGAGUUGCGAUACCGCGAGGUGGAGCCAAUCUCAUAAAGCGUCUCUCAGUUCGGAUUGAAGUCUGCAACUCGACUUCAUGAA
Molecule: ribosomal RNA, 696 nt
Filed under: uncultured bacterium
Lineage: Bacteria
Description: bacterial SSU rRNA
Rfam family: Bacterial small subunit ribosomal RNA
Source: RNAcentral